GGCCUUAUAGCUUAGUAGUAGAGCGCUCCUCUAGCUAAAGAGAAGAUCUAGGUUUGAAUCUAGGUGAGGUUG
Colletotrichum sp. SAR11_59 is the source of this 72-nucleotide non-coding RNA. The record is from the annotation of a GenBank genome assembly. Lineage: Eukaryota; Fungi; Ascomycota; Sordariomycetes; Glomerellales; Glomerellaceae.